Molecule: ribosomal RNA, 482 nt
Filed under: Actinomyces israelii
Lineage: Bacteria; Bacillati; Actinomycetota; Actinomycetes; Actinomycetales; Actinomycetaceae
Description: bacterial SSU rRNA
Rfam family: Bacterial small subunit ribosomal RNA
Source: RNAcentral
GACGAACGCUGGCGGCGUGCUUAACACAUGCAAGUCGAACGGGUCUGCCUUGUUUUUUGCGGGGUGGGUCAGUGGCGAACGGGUGAGUAACACGUGAGUAACCUGCCCCUCACUUCUGGAUAACCGCUUGAAAGGGUGGCUAAUACGGGGUGUUCUGGCUGUGCCGCAUGGUGUGGCUGGGAAAGAUUCACUUUUGUGGUGUUUUGGUGGGGGAUGGGCUCGCGGCCUAUCAGCUUGUUGGUGGGGUGAUGGCCUGCCAAGGCUUUGACGGGUAGCCGGCCUGAGAGGGUGGGCGGUCACACUGGGACUGAGAUACGGCCCAGACUCCUGCGGGAGGCAGCAGUGGGGGGUAUUGCACAAUGGGCGGAAGCCUGAUGCAGCGACGUCGCGUGAGGGAUGGAUGCCUUCGGGUUGUGAACCUCUUUCGCCGGUGAAGAAGGUCCUGUUCUUUGUGGUGGGGCUGAACGGAAGCCCGGGUAAAA